CGGACGGGUGAGUAACGCGUAAAGAACUUGCCUUACAGACUGGGACAACAUUUGGAAACGAAUGCUAAUACCGGAUAUUAUGACUGAGUCGCAUGAUUUGGUUAUGAAAGCUAUAUGCGCUGUGAGAGAGCUUUGCGUCCCAUUAGUUAGUUGGUGAGGUAACGGCUCACCAAGACGAUGAUGGGUAGCCGGCCUGAGAGGGUGAACGGCCACAAGGGGACUGAGACACGGCCCUUACUCCUACGGGAGGCAGCAGUGGGGAAUAUUGGACAAUGGACCAAGAGUCUGAUCCAGCAAUUCUGUGUGCACGAUGAAGUUUUUCGGAAUGUAAAGUGCUUUCAGUUGGGAAGAAGAAAGUGACGGUACCAACAGAAGAAGCGACGGCUAAAUACGUGCCAGCAGCCGCGGUAAUACGUAUGUCGCAAGCGUUAUCCGGAUUUAUUGGGCGUAAAGCGCGUCUAGGCGGCAUAGUAAGUCUGAUGUGAAAAUGCGGGGCUCAACCCCGUAUUGCGUUGGAAACUGCUAAACUAGAGUACUGGAGAGGUAGGCGGAACUACAAGUGUAGAGGUGAAAUUCGUAGAUAUUUGUAGGAAUGCCGAUGGGGAAGCCAGCCUACUGGACAGAUACUGACGCUAAAGCGCGAAAGCGUGGGUAGCAAACAGGAUUA
This 667-nucleotide ribosomal RNA is filed under the name uncultured bacterium. RNAcentral's name for it is "bacterial SSU rRNA". It matches the Rfam family "Bacterial small subunit ribosomal RNA", at positions 99 to 780 of the family's 1533-position model. The record is from RNAcentral.